UGUUCUGUUUGUGCACAUGGGCUUAAAUA
RNAcentral lists this non-coding RNA (29 nucleotides) under Mus musculus (house mouse). Lineage: Eukaryota; Metazoa; Chordata; Mammalia; Rodentia; Muridae. The record is from RNAcentral.